CAUUGCCCCAAUUCCUACAGAAAGAUAACAAAUGGAAAUGAAUAGAUGCUGAGGUGAUGGAAUGAAUGCACUGAGACUGGCUGGCGAAUCUGCCAACUGAACCUCCCCAAAUGCACCAUGAAGUACCAUGGAGAAAAUCAGAUAGUGGAAGAAGGCAAAUUCGAGGGUACAUCCUGGAACUGAGUGUUGGCUAGACCACUGCACUAACUUCAAUGUACUCACCAAUUUUGUGAUAAAGCUCAGGGAGCUGGACUUCAAUCUUUUCUCUUUGAAAUAUAUGA
Mobula hypostoma (lesser devil ray) is the source of this 281-nucleotide long non-coding RNA. RefSeq lists it as uncharacterized. The transcript is spliced from 3 exons. The record is from RefSeq and is a predicted model, not a curated record. Lineage: Eukaryota; Metazoa; Chordata; Chondrichthyes; Myliobatiformes; Myliobatidae.